This 859-nucleotide long non-coding RNA is filed under the name Corvus moneduloides (New Caledonian crow). RNAcentral's name for it is "lncRNA (ENSCMUG00000004508.2)". Lineage: Eukaryota; Metazoa; Chordata; Aves; Passeriformes; Corvidae. The record is from RNAcentral.
AUGGAACUGAAGGACAAGAGCAGAGCAGCAGACUUGAGCACCUGCACACAAACAGCCCCAAGAGCUGGCCCCAGGUGUAUCCUUCUGCCUAAGGAAUCAGAGUAGACCUUGGCACAUCUGAGGACCUUUAAUUGGAUUCGAAAAAUGACCAAUAUAUUUUUUUGUUGUUCCCAAGAAAGGUCUGAUUUUUUGCUUGGGAUCACCCCAUUUGUGUGUUUCUAAGUUAUUAACCUGGCUGUACCUGUGUGAUGAGUCCUGGGCUGGAAAUGCUGGUCCUCUUUGAGCAGUGAGGCUCCUCUCUGUAGGUGGUGUGAAUCAAGGUCAGGCCCUGGAGUGGGCAGACGGAUUUCUUUCUGUCCCUGUUGGUGCAGAGCAGGGCACUGAGAAUUUCACCUGAGCCGGGCAAGGCUCCUAGGCCACCUACACACCAGGAGAUCGCACAAGGAAAUUCCUUGUGUGUUUUCCAGCUACACCCUUUUCACAGUGAUGGAUGUCUUGGUGCAGCCCAGGUCUGGACAUUUAUAGCACUGCGUGAUCUCCAUGCUACUGGAGGAGCUGGUGAGGCUCCAUGACUGGAAAAGCAGGUGACCAGCUAACCUUCAUCCUGGGGAAACCACUGGCGGUGGCAGGGACUGGCUGCAGGAGAAGCACGUUUGUGGGUGAGGGUCGGGCUGGGCAGCUCUUUGCAGAGGAGAGUUCCUAUGGAAUAUAUGCAUCACAGCUACUUAAAAGUUGGACAGUAAGAGCAGAAAUGUCAACUAAAGGACAUUAUUCAGUACGAAACAUCUGCACCAAGUUGUGGAAUCAUGCAGAUGGUGUUCAAACAAAUCAAGAAGCUGAAGCUAAAAAACCACCCUGA